GGGUCAGUAGGUUGGUCGUGCCACCGGUACGUACUGGUCUCACUGAUUCCUCCUUCCUGAAGAACCGUAAUGCCAUUAAUUUGGUGUUGCGGGGAAACAGGACUGGUACUUUGAAAAAAUUAGAGUGUUUAAAGCAAGCUAACGCUUGAAUACAUUAGCAUGGAAUAAUGAAAUAGGACGAUCGAUCCUAUUUUGUUGGUUUCUAGGAUUGACGGA
RNAcentral lists this ribosomal RNA (216 nucleotides) under Glomeromycotina sp. Its description in RNAcentral is "partial small subunit ribosomal RNA". The stretch from base 40 to 216 matches the Rfam family "Eukaryotic small subunit ribosomal RNA", at positions 686 to 864 of the family's 1831-position model. The record is from RNAcentral. Lineage: Eukaryota; Fungi; Glomeromycota.